UGUUACUCUUGUUGAGAGGUAGGGUUCUAUGUACCCUACCCUUGAAUUUGGAUGGAUUGUGUUUGCUUGGGCCAAAAGAGUAUAGCAGAAGUGAUGCUAUGUGACCUCCAGAGUGAGGUCAUAAAUGGCCAGAAUCCCAUCUAAGAAGUCUGACUACUACCCUGAUGGCAUCAUACUACAUGGCCAUAUGUAGGCCUUCUGGCUAAGCCUAGUUGUUGCCCCCCUCCCAACGUGGGCAACAGCUGUGUGAGUGAAGAAGUCAUCCUGGUGUGGAUCCUCCAGCUACUCCAGCCCUCAGUUACGGAGUCAUUCCCCACUUGGAAGUCACUUGGGCCAAGACCCCAUACAAGAUGAACAGAGAAGAACUUCUGGGAAUGUGCUUUCCCAGUCCCUGACACAUAGCUUUCAUGAGCCUAAUAAAUGAUGGCAGUUGUUUCAGGUCACUAUGCUUGGGGGAUAGUUUGUUACCCAGUGAUAGAUAACUGGAACAGAAUGGAGACCAUCUUACAUAGUCCUUUGUAUAACAUAGGAGGAGAAUUUAUAUUUAAAGUUUAUUAAACAACAGCCUUUUCAAGAGUGAGGACCAUGACUUUUAGCAGGGGGCCAUGCACGUUCUUCUUCCGGUGUGGAGCAUCAUGCCUGGAGACAGUCCUGAUAUCAGACAUCACAGAAUUGUUCAACCCACUGCAGUAAGAAUUUCCUGAGUGCCUACCCUGAACAGAGAUGGAGAGCAGAUUACAGAAACAAGGAAGACUUCAUCUUUGCCCUGAAAGGGGCCUGCAAGAUCUUUGAGUGCCAGAGUAUUCUAUUCCUUUGGCUUCUUUCCAGUCUUUGGAGCAAGAACUCCGUCAACAUUGGCAAUUUCCUGCAUGCCUCCGAGCUACCUCUGGGAGGCAAAGAUUCCAGAGCCAGAGAAGAAGACCUGCGAACAUAAGAUGUAUCUAGAAACCCCUCCGUGUGAGUCACAUUAGGC
RNAcentral lists this long non-coding RNA (973 nucleotides) under Vulpes vulpes (red fox). RNAcentral's name for it is "lncRNA (ENSVVUG00000010934.1)". The record is from RNAcentral. Lineage: Eukaryota; Metazoa; Chordata; Mammalia; Carnivora; Canidae.